GAUGAACGCUGGCGGCGUGCCUAACACAUGCAAGUCGAACGGAGCUAUUCAGGAAACUUCCUUCGGGGAGCGGAAUCUUUAGCUUAGUGGCGGACGGGUGAGUAACGCGUGAGCAAUCUGCCUUUGGAUGGGGGAUAACAGCCGGAAACGGCUGCUAAUACCGCAUAAUGCAACGGGAUCGCAUGGUCCUGCUGCCAAAGAUUUAUUGUCCAAAGAUGAGCUCGCGUCUGAUUAGCCAGUUGGCGGGGUAACGGCCCACCAAAGCGACGAUCAGUAGCCGGACUGAGAGGUUGAACGGCCACAUUGGGACUGAGACACGGCCCAG
RNAcentral lists this ribosomal RNA (325 nucleotides) under uncultured bacterium. Its description in RNAcentral is "bacterial SSU rRNA". It matches the Rfam family "Bacterial small subunit ribosomal RNA", at positions 28 to 334 of the family's 1533-position model. The record is from RNAcentral.